ACUCCUGCGCGCGCUCUAGCUUCCGCCGCGCACGGCACUCGGUGGCAGCGCCCGGCGUCCGCGGACUGCUGCGCUUGUGCGGACUUCCGCACUUCGCAUUGCUUUGUAGAACCGUGCGCCGUUUUGACACCGCACUUUGUGGAGAAUGCGGAAAUCAGCGCAACAGUGUCGGUUGGCUGCUUUCUUCAAAUGAUGGACUACACUGAAGGUGAAAGAUGCCUUACGUAUUGGCAGCCAACAACACAUAUCAUCACCGAAUUUCCGAGAGAAGAACUGCUAACAAAUCUACCGAGAACCAAGUACAGUAGCCUUCAGGUUACUUCACGUGCAGGAAUGCUGACUGCAGGUGGGAAUGAAAAGUGGAAUCUGUAGACAAAGAAAUUCUGAGGAACUGCUCGCACUCUAAGUAGCUAAACUGAACAAUGGAAAGAGUAAUAAAGGAUUGUUACUUAAUUAUGUACUUCUGGAAGUUUAAAAGUACCACUGAGAAUAGUCAUCUGACGUUCGCGCACAAUAUUCUGUGGCAAGUGGAGGAUGAUCGUGGAGUAGAAAUGGUGAAUUAUUAGGAGAAGAGGGGGGAAAAUUUUGGUGGAGCAGGUGGUGCCGGUGUUUCCGAAGAGAGCUGUG
Molecule: long non-coding RNA, 627 nt
Organism: Schistocerca piceifrons (Central American locust)
Lineage: Eukaryota; Metazoa; Arthropoda; Insecta; Orthoptera; Acrididae
Exons: 3
Source: RefSeq, a predicted model, not a curated record